AGUUGUAAUUUGUAGAGGAUGCUUUUGGUGAGGUGCCGCCCGAGUUCCCUGGAACGGGACGCCACAGAGGGUGAGAGCCCCGUCUGGCUGGCCACCGAGCCUCUGUAAAGCUCCUUCGACGAGUCGAGUAGUUUGGGAAUGCUGCUCAAAAUGGGAGGUAUAUGUCUUCUAAAGCUAAAUAUUGGCCAGAGACCGAUAGCGCACAAGUAGAGUGAUCGAAAGAUGAAAAGCACCUUGAAAAGAGGGUUAAACAGUACGUGAAAUUGUUGAAAGGGAAGCGCUUGUGACCAGACUUGGGCGCGGCGAAUCAUCCGGGGUUCUCUCCGGUGCACUUCGCCGUGUUCAGGCCAGCAUCAGUUCGGCGCGGGGGAAAAAGGCUUCGGGAACGUGGCUGCUCCGGCAGUGUUAUAGCCCGUUGCAUAAUACCCUGCGCUGGACUGAGGACCGCGCAUCUGCAAGGAUGCUGGCGUAAUGGUCACCAGCGACCCGUCUUGAAACACGGACCAAGGAGUCGUCUUCGUAUGCGAGUGUUCGGGUGUCAAACCCCUACGCGUAAUGAAAGUGAACGCAGGUGAGAGCUUCGGCGCAUCAUCGACCGAUCCUGAUGUUCUCGGAUGGAUUUGAGUAAGAGCAUACGGGGCCGGACCCGAAAGAAGGUGAACUAUGCCUGUAUAGGGUGAAGCCAGAGGAAACUCUGGUGGAGGCUCGCAGCGGUUCUGACGUGCAAAUCGAUCGUCAAAUAUGGGCAUGGGGGCGAAAGACUA
This 764-nucleotide ribosomal RNA is filed under the name soil fungal sp. DM2-359. Its description in RNAcentral is "eukaryotic LSU rRNA". It matches the Rfam family "Eukaryotic large subunit ribosomal RNA", at positions 141 to 933 of the family's 3401-position model. The record is from RNAcentral. Lineage: Eukaryota; Fungi.